RNAcentral lists this ribosomal RNA (1360 nucleotides) under Salmonella enterica. Its description in RNAcentral is "partial 23S ribosomal RNA". It matches the Rfam family "Bacterial large subunit ribosomal RNA", at positions 1589 to 2925 of the family's 2925-position model. The record is from RNAcentral. Lineage: Bacteria; Pseudomonadati; Pseudomonadota; Gammaproteobacteria; Enterobacterales; Enterobacteriaceae. RNAcentral also lists the same sequence under 3 other names.
AGCAACAAAUGCCCUGCUUCCAGGAAAAGCCUCUAAGCAUCAGGUAACAUCAAAUCGUACCCCAAACCGACACAGGUGGUCAGGUAGAGAAUACCAAGGCGCUUGAGAGAACUCGGGUGAAGGAACUAGGCAAAAUGGUGCCGUAACUUCGGGAGAAGGCACGCUGACACGUAGGUGAAGUGAUUUACUCAUGGAGCUGAAGUCAGUCGAAGAUACCAGCUGGCUGCAACUGUUUAUUAAAAACACAGCACUGUGCAAACACGAAAGUGGACGUAUACGGUGUGACGCCUGCCCGGUGCCGGAAGGUUAAUUGAUGGGGUCAGCGCAAGCGAAGCUCCUGAUCGAAGCCCCGGUAAACGGCGGCCGUAACUAUAACGGUCCUAAGGUAGCGAAAUUCCUUGUCGGGUAAGUUCCGACCUGCACGAAUGGCGUAAUGAUGGCCAGGCUGUCUCCACCCGAGACUCAGUGAAAUUGAACUCGCUGUGAAGAUGCAGUGUACCCGCGGCAAGACGGAAAGACCCCGUGAACCUUUACUAUAGCUUGACACUGAACAUUGAGCCUUGAUGUGUAGGAUAGGUGGGAGGCUUUGAAGUGUGGACGCCAGUCUGCAUGGAGCCGGCCUUGAAAUACCACCCUUUAAUGUUUGAUGUUCUAACGUGGACCCGUGAUCCGGGUUGCGGACAGUGUCUGGUGGGUAGUUUGACUGGGGCGGUCUCCUCCUAAAGAGUAACGGAGGAGCACGAAGGUUGGCUAAUCCUGGUCGGACAUCAGGAGGUUAGUGCAAUGGCAUAAGCCAGCUUGACUGCGAGCGUGACGGCGCGAGCAGGUGCGAAAGCAGGUCAUAGUGAUCCGGUGGUUCUGAAUGGAAGGGCCAUCGCUCAACGGAUAAAAGGUACUCCGGGGAUAACAGGCUGAUACCGCCCAAGAGUUCAUAUCGACGGCGGUGUUUGGCACCUCGAUGUCGGCUCAUCACAUCCUGGGGCUGAAGUAGGUCCCAAGGGUAUGGCUGUUCGCCAUUUAAAGUGGUACGCGAGCUGGGUUUAGAACGUCGUGAGACAGUUCGGUCCCUAUCUGCCGUGGGCGCUGGAGAACUGAGGGGGGCUGCUCCUAGUACGAGAGGACCGGAGUGGACGCAUCACUGGUGUUCGGGUUGUCAUGCCAAUGGCACUGCCCGGUAGCUAAAUGCGGAAGAGAUAAGUGCUGAAAGCAUCUAAGCACGAAACUUGCCCCGAGAUGAGUUCUCCCUGAGACUUUAGGUCUCCUGAAGGAACGUUGAAGACGACGACGUUGAUAGGCCGGGUGUGUAAGCGCAGCGAUGCGUUGAGCUAACCGGUACUAAUGAACCGUGAGGCUUAACCUU